GACGAACGCUGGCGGCGUGCCUAAUACAUGCAAGUAGAACGCUGAAGAGAGGAGCUUGCUCUUCUUGGAUGAGUUGCGAACGGGUGAGUAACGCGUAGGCAACCUGCCUGGUAGCGGGGGAUAACUAUUGGAAACGAUAGCUAAUACCGCAUAAAAUUGAUUAUUGCAUGAUAAUUAAUUGAAAGAUGCAACUGCAUCACUACCAGAUGGACCUGCGUUGUAUUAGCUAGUUGGUGAGGUAACGGCUCACCAAGGCGACGAUACAUAGCCGACCUGAGAGGGUGAUCGGCCACACUGGGACUGAGACACGGCCCAGACUCCUACGGGAGGCAGCAGUAGGGAAUCUUCGGCAAUGGGGGGAACCCUGACCGAGCAACGCCGCGUGAGUGAAGAAGGUUUUCGGAUCGUAAAGCUCUGUUGUAAGAGAAGAACGGGUGUGAGAGUGGAAAGUUCACACUG
Molecule: ribosomal RNA, 459 nt
Filed under: Streptococcus sanguinis
Lineage: Bacteria; Bacillati; Bacillota; Bacilli; Lactobacillales; Streptococcaceae
Description: bacterial SSU rRNA
Rfam family: Bacterial small subunit ribosomal RNA
Source: RNAcentral